RNAcentral lists this unclassified non-coding RNA (238 nucleotides) under plant metagenome. Its description in RNAcentral is "partial contains small subunit ribosomal RNA and internal transcribed spacer 1". The stretch from base 1 to 46 matches the Rfam family "Eukaryotic small subunit ribosomal RNA", at positions 1786 to 1831 of the family's 1831-position model. The record is from RNAcentral.
AAGUCGUAACAAGGUUUCCGUAGGUGAACCUGCGGAAGGAUCAUUAAAGAGAUAGGGUCUUCAUGGCCCGACCUCCAACCCUCUGUUGUUAAUAACUACCUUGUUGCUUUGGCGGGAACCGUCUCGGUCUCCGAGGCGCCACUAACCCUCGGGUUGGUGAGCGCCCGCCAGAAGUCCAACCAAAACUCUUGUAUUAAAACCAGUACGUCUGAAGUAUAAAAUUUUAAUUAAAUUAAAA